UGGCCUUCCCUUAGGCCCGCGAGCCCCUCCCUCCCGCUCGGCGUUACCCACGUCGGUCCGAAGCUGUCGCCGACCUGCGCCGGGCUGAAGUCCUGCAGGACUGCCUCCUGGCUGAGGCGCACGGAUGCGGCCGGACGGCUACCCAGACGAGGGGCCACACCUGCCGCGGAGGUUACAGUCGGUAAAAUAGAGCGGCGACACGAACUUCUCCACCCGCUCCAGCGUGGUGCGCCAGUGCUUCAGAGCAGGCGCCCCCGCCAUCACCGCGCCCCAGCUCCUCUCCCCGGAAGGCCGCUGGCAUUGCCGGCGCGGUCCACCGACUGAAACCAAAGGUUCCGGCAUCUGAAGGGCGCCUUCCAGCCCCGGGCAGCUUUCCUUGCGACACCAGCGGCUCUCGGAAGCCCAGCUGCCGUCCGAACUUUGAGCCAGGAGUUGCAAACUAGAAGCUGCGCUUUGGAGGCUCUCCUGUCUCGCCCAAGCUAGUUGGCUAUAGGGUAAAUCCCUAAAUAAAAUGAGAAAUUUGACGAUUAAAUCUCCCGAAGGUCCUGGGACAGAGACACGGGACCAUUCCGCAGAACAGGCAGGAACCUUGGCUGCUGCAGACCCAGCCUCAGAAGCAGCAAUCAGAGACCACUCACUGGCUCUGGCUACGUCCGUGAACACGAAAACUGGUGUCUGCUUAACGUGGAAGGAGGCCGCCCAGGAUGUGUGUUUUCAUACUGACUGGAGGAUACGGUGUUAAAGAGCAGAGAGGAUGAGCUCCAGUGACCCUAGCUUCCUCUGUUACACGUUUUAAUUCAUGUGUAUGUUGCUAACUCUUGCCCAUCACCAGAAACUCUGCAAAGAUUUUGAGACAGCAGAUCAUGGUCACAGCACUGAAGAGUCCCAUAGAAUCUUCCCUGUCAUUUCACCAGACAAGUCUGUAGAGUCCAGGGAAGCCCUAAUGCCAGAAACAGACCUCCAAUUUCAUUCUCAUCCCAAGUAUUCCACUGGCAACUUUACUUUUUUCCUCGUGGGGUUGCCAGAGUCCUUGUCUAUAAAAUCAUUAGAAAGAAAAAAAUAUAUACACAACAUUAGCCCUGAUAUUUUAAUGGAAAUACUGACCAAGUGUACAACAUUUCAAAUGCCAAUCACAUGGAAAGGUGACUAAGUACAGAAUACCAAAUGUGAUUUAAAAUAAAGAACUUUCUGCUGUAUAUAAUGCAGGUUGGGUUUAGAGCAUGGAGCUUACAUGUCAGACAGCAGAAGAAUAAAAAUGCUGCUUGUGAAAACCC
Molecule: long non-coding RNA, 1274 nt
Organism: Lemur catta (Ring-tailed lemur)
Lineage: Eukaryota; Metazoa; Chordata; Mammalia; Primates; Lemuridae
Exons: 2
Source: RefSeq, a predicted model, not a curated record